AGCUUGCUCUUAUGAAGUUAGCGGCGGACGGGUGAGUAACACGUGGGUAACCUGCCCAUAAGACUGGGAUAACUCCGGGAAACCGGGGCUAAUACCUGAUAACAUUUUGAACCGCAUGGUUCGAAAUUGAAAGGCGGCUUCGGCUGUCACUUAUGGAUGGACCCGCGUCGCAUUAGCUAGUUGGUGAGGUAACGGCUCACCAAGGCAACGAUGCGUAGCCGACCUGAGAGGGUGAUCGGCCACACUGGGACUGAGACACGGCCCAGACUCCUACGGGAGGCAGCAGUAGGGAAUCUUCCGCAAUGGACGAAAGUCUGACGGAGCAACGCCGCGUGAGUGAUGAAGGCUUUCGGGUCGUAAAACUCUGUUGUUAGGGAAGAACAAGUGCUAGUUGAAUAAGCUGGCACCUUGACGGUACCUAACCAGAAAGCCACGGCUAACUACGUGCCAGCAGCCGCGGUAAUACGUAGGUGGCAAGCGUUAUCCGGAAUUAUUGGGCGUAAAGCGCGCGCA
Molecule: ribosomal RNA, 513 nt
Filed under: uncultured bacterium
Lineage: Bacteria
Description: bacterial SSU rRNA
Rfam family: Bacterial small subunit ribosomal RNA
Source: RNAcentral